GCCUGGAUAGCUCAGCCGGUAGAGCAUCAGACGUUUAAUCUGAGGGUCCAGGGUUCAAGUCCCUGUUCAGGCG
RNAcentral lists this transfer RNA (73 nucleotides) under Gadus morhua (Atlantic cod). Its description in RNAcentral is "tRNA-Lys (TTT) (tRNA-Lys-TTT-17-1)". It matches the Rfam family "tRNA". Rfam says of the family: Transfer RNA (tRNA) molecules are approximately 80 nucleotides in length. Their secondary structure includes four short double-helical elements and three loops (D, anti-codon, and T loops). The record is from RNAcentral. Lineage: Eukaryota; Metazoa; Chordata; Actinopteri; Gadiformes; Gadidae.